Molecule: ribosomal RNA, 441 nt
Filed under: uncultured bacterium
Lineage: Bacteria
Description: partial 16S ribosomal RNA
Rfam family: Bacterial small subunit ribosomal RNA
Source: RNAcentral
GAUGAGCGCUGGCGGCGUGCCUAAUACAUGCAAGUCGAACGGGGAGUAGCAAUACUCUUAGUGGCGAACGGGUGAGUAACGCGUUGGUACCUGCCCCGAAGCGGGGGAUAACGGACCGAAAGGUCCGCUAAUACCCCAUGUGCUCGGUAACGAGUAAAGGUGAAAACCACUUUGGGAGGGGCAUGCGUCCCAUCAGCUAGUUGGUAAGGUAACGGCUUACCAAGGCGAUGACGGGUAGGGGACCUGAGAGGGUGGCCCCCCACAAUGGAACUGAAACACGGUCCAUACACCUACGGGUGGCAGCAGUAGGGAAUAUUGGUAAUGGGCGCAAGCCUGAACCAGCAACGCCGCGUGUGCGAUGACGGCCUUCGGGUUGUAAAGCACUUUUGACUGGGACGAGGAAGGACGGUACCGGUCGAAUCAGCCUCGGCUAACUACGUG